GUCCAUGCCGUAAACGUUGGGCGCUAGGUGUGGGGACCUUCCACUGUCUCCGUGCCGCAGCUAACGCAUUAAGCGCCCCGCCUGGGGAGUACGGCCGCAAGGCUAAAACUCAAAGGAAUUGACGGGGGCCCGCACAAGCGGCGGAGCAUGCUGAUUAAUUCGAUGCAACGCGAAGAACCUUACCUGGGUUUGACAUAUGCCGGAAAGCCAUAGAGAUAUGGCCCCCCUUGUGGUCGGUAUACAGGUGGUGCAUGGCUGUCGU
This 262-nucleotide ribosomal RNA is filed under the name uncultured bacterium. RNAcentral describes it as "partial 16S ribosomal RNA". It matches the Rfam family "Bacterial small subunit ribosomal RNA", at positions 793 to 1055 of the family's 1533-position model. The record is from RNAcentral.